GAACGCACCUUGCGCUCCUUGGUAUUCCUCGGAGCAUGCCUGUUUGAGUAUCAUGAAAUCUUCAAAAUAAAUCUUUUGUUCACUCGAUUGAUUUUAUUUUGGACUUGGAGGCUUGCAGAUUCACGUCUGCUCCUCUUAAAUUUAUUAGCUGGAUCUCGGUGAGCUCGGUUCCACUCGGCGUGAUAAGUAUCACUCGCUGAGGACACUGUAAAAGGUGGCCGGGAUUGCGGAUGAACCGCUUCUAAUAGUCCAUUGACUUGGACAAUAAAUACUUUAUGAUCUGAUCUCAAAUCAGGUAGGACUACCCGCUGAACUUAAG
RNAcentral lists this unclassified non-coding RNA (319 nucleotides) under uncultured Ceratobasidium. RNAcentral's name for it is "sequence contains 5.8S rRNA gene". Lineage: Eukaryota; Fungi; Basidiomycota; Agaricomycetes; Cantharellales; Ceratobasidiaceae. The record is from RNAcentral.